Molecule: unclassified non-coding RNA, 509 nt
Filed under: Hevea brasiliensis (rubber tree)
Lineage: Eukaryota; Viridiplantae; Streptophyta; Magnoliopsida; Malpighiales; Euphorbiaceae
Source: RNAcentral
GCAUCAAAUGCAGAAUCUUUUGCGUCCACAAAUUAUAGUAGCAUAACACGACAUAGAGAAGCAUACAGGCAAGCAGGCAAAAGUGGGCCGGCGUCUGUUAAGGGACAACAUUAGUGCUCCCAUUUUUUCAUAUUCAUGCUCCACCCACCAAGAUGAAAUAACUAUGUGGGAAACAAAUGACAUUUGGUGUACCCAAUCCAUCCACUGCCCCAAAACCAGACAUCAAGGAUGGUCAUUCCCCUACCGCAAACCCACAUGGCCAUAAAAGCCAACAAUAAUUAAAAUUAGAGUUUAAUGCAAUCAAGCCAAAAAGAGAAGUUAAAAAAAAGAGUCCUCAUACUUUAUUACCAAGUUUCCUUCACCUUUAUCAAGUUCAUAACUUUGAGAAGGGUUAUAGUUAUUAGGCACUCCAAGAAAAAAUGGUUUGUCUUCUAACCGCUUAUGAGAACAAACAGUGGUUUGUCUUCUAACAGUUCCCUGCCCUUCAGCUCUGGCAAUUCAAUGACACA